RNAcentral lists this ribosomal RNA (633 nucleotides) under Trichoderma atroviride. RNAcentral describes it as "eukaryotic LSU rRNA". The stretch from base 242 to 395 matches the Rfam family "5.8S ribosomal RNA". Lineage: Eukaryota; Fungi; Ascomycota; Sordariomycetes; Hypocreales; Hypocreaceae. The record is from RNAcentral.
UGGAAGUAAAAAGUCGUAACAAGGUCUCCGUUGGUGAACCAGCGGAGGGAUCAUUACCGAGUUUACAACUCCCAAACCCAAUGUGAACCAUACCAAACUGUUGCCUCGGCGGGGUCACGCCCCGGGUGCGUCGCAGCCCCGGAACCAGGCGCCCGCCGGAGGGACCAACCAAACUCUUUUCUGUAGUCCCCUCGCGGACGUUAUUUCUUACAGCUCUGAGCAAAAAUUCAAAAUGAAUCAAAACUUUCAACAACGGAUCUCUUGGUUCUGGCAUCGAUGAAGAACGCAGCGAAAUGCGAUAAGUAAUGUGAAUUGCAGAAUUCAGUGAAUCAUCGAAUCUUUGAACGCACAUUGCGCCCGCCAGUAUUCUGGCGGGCAUGCCUGUCCGAGCGUCAUUUCAACCCUCGAACCCCUCCGGGGGGUCGGCGUUGGGGACCUCGGGAGCCCCUAAGACGGGAUCCCGGCCCCGAAAUACAGUGGCGGUCUCGCCGCAGCCUCUCCUGCGCAGUAGUUUGCACAACUCGCACCGGGAGCGCGGCGCGUCCACGUCCGUAAAACACCCAACUUCUGAAAUGUUGACCUCGGAUCAGGUAGGAAUACCCGCUGAACUUAAGCAUAUCAAUAAGCGGAGGA